RNAcentral lists this ribosomal RNA (1392 nucleotides) under Triticum aestivum (bread wheat). RNAcentral describes it as "partial small subunit ribosomal RNA". The record is from RNAcentral. Lineage: Eukaryota; Viridiplantae; Streptophyta; Magnoliopsida; Poales; Poaceae.
AUGCAAUUUAAGAAUCUUGAGGGAAAACUCAUUGUGCGAAUACUAGAACAGCGGUCUUCUCAAAAGGACGGAGUUGCUAUGAUGUUGUUGGACAUUAGGCGUCGUUCCAUGGAAGGAGAAAAGAUAACGUCAGAAGUUCUGUUUGCUGUUCUCGAUGGCGCCAGCGAGAAAACUUUGUUACGCUCUGAUAUUCGUAAUUGCAAAGAGGGAGGAAUAUGGGACGUCAGUCCGAGUGACAUCAUAACUAACAUGAACUCAUUGCUUGCGUGUUACAGCUACUUGCUUGAGAAGGCAUUGAUGAACAAAUGGUUACAAUACAAGGCUGCACUAGCAUAUAAAGUUGGGGAAGAUCUUAUUGCCACGGAGAAAAGAAGUAAAAUAUCCAGUAGGGGAAAGAAGGUCAACGACCAAAACAGUCAGGGAGAGCUGGAUAUUUCUGCUCAUUCUACCGAAGAUCAUAGUUCUAAUUCUACUGACCAACAUGAUAGCCCACCUUUAGAAGGCACCAAAGGUCAUAGUUCUAAUUCUACUGGCCAACAUGAUGAUCCACCUUUAGAAGGCACUGGAGACGGUACAAAAGAUGACAGGGUUCAAAGUAGCCAAUCCUUAAAACAUACUGAAGACGACAGCAUUGGCAAUCUGUAUGAUUUGAUUCUUGAAUUCCUUAGGAGCUUUAGGAACAACGACCCCAAAAAGUUCUACAGAGGUGAAAUUGAAACGAUUAAGUAUAUGGGCAAUUUGGAUAUACACAUUCAUUUUCCGCACAUGAAAGAGUAUUCUGCAGAACUUGCUGCAUAUAUUAUUGAUCAUCAUGACAGUGACGGGGUUAAAGUUGAUAUAUCACGUGCUGCUGCUCAAUACCUUGUUGAACAUAACAUUGGAAAACCUGAGGAAGAGAUACGUGAGGGUAUAAAAGUGAUAAUGGUGGAUCUGCCCUCACCAACCAGUAACAUGUCCUUUAAGAAAUAUGCUAGGCUAAACAAGUUGAUAAGGCCUUUUAAACUUCCGAAGAAGUUUCGUCGACUUUUUUCACUUAGAUGGAAAGGAAGAUUGUACUUGAUGACAUAUGCUGGAAGAAGAGCUGCUCGUGGGCUAAUGAACUGCAUCAUUAAGAAGCACAAGGAAAAACUUUGUUGGAGAGGUGAAUGGAAAUUGUCUGACAUGUGCAUCGAAGAUGGAUUGUUUGUUAUUGACACAGAAGCAUUGUAUGUUGCGGAUGUCGAGGGUAUGGCUUGGGAUUAUAAGAAGUACAUUGAGCUUCUGAAUCCUUUCUAUGUCACAGUUGAACAAUCCUCCUCCUCUGGGUCAAAGAAAAAAACAAUCCUCUUCCUCCGGGUCAAAGAAAAAACAAUCCUCCUCCUCCUCGUCAAAAGAAAAACAAUCCUCCAAUAG